This 31-nucleotide non-coding RNA is filed under the name Rattus norvegicus (Norway rat). Lineage: Eukaryota; Metazoa; Chordata; Mammalia; Rodentia; Muridae. The record is from RNAcentral.
UCUAUCAGGGAAUAAACGCUUCCAUGGGAGC